GAUGAACGCUAGCGGCAGGCUUAAUACAUGCGAGUCGUGGGGCAGCAGGACUGUAGCAAUACAGUUGCUGGCGACCGGCAAACGGGUGCGGAACACGUACGCAACUUACCCUGAACUGGGGGAUAGCCCGGGGAAACCCGGAUUAAUACCCCGUAAUAUAAUGGAGUGGCAUCACUUUAUUAUUAAAGCUCCGGCGGUUCGGGAUGGGCGUGCGGCUGAUUAGGUAGUUGGUUGAGGUAACGGCUCACCAAGCCUACGAUCAGUAACUGGUGUGAGAGCACGACCAGUCACACGGGCACUGAGACACGGGCCCGACUCCUACGGGAGGCAGCAGUAAGGAAGAUUGGGCAAUGGAGGCAACUCUGACCCAGCCAUGCCGCGUGGAGGAUGAAGGCCCUCUGGGUUGUAAACUUCUUUUAGAGGGGACGAAGCCUGUGUAUUCUUACGCAGUUGACGGUACCCUAGGAAUAAGCACCGGCUAACUCCGUG
This 489-nucleotide ribosomal RNA is filed under the name uncultured bacterium. RNAcentral's name for it is "partial 16S ribosomal RNA". It matches the Rfam family "Bacterial small subunit ribosomal RNA", at positions 28 to 507 of the family's 1533-position model. The record is from RNAcentral.